CAGAGUAAGUUUUUCUGCGUCAAGUGCCGACCGGACGGGGAGUUGCCGGGCGGACGAAGGCUGUCGCCGCGGUAGAAAAACUGCAUCCCGCUGU
RNAcentral lists this non-coding RNA (94 nucleotides) under bovine gut metagenome. RNAcentral describes it as "THF riboswitch". It matches the Rfam family "THF (Tetrahydrofolate) riboswitch aptamer". From Rfam's summary of the family: THF riboswitch presents a pseudoknot that joins P1-P2 and the loop of P3 and two THF binding. The record is from RNAcentral.